This 301-nucleotide ribosomal RNA is filed under the name uncultured bacterium. RNAcentral's name for it is "partial 16S ribosomal RNA". It matches the Rfam family "Bacterial small subunit ribosomal RNA", at positions 509 to 807 of the family's 1533-position model. The record is from RNAcentral.
CAGUAGCCGCGGUAAUACGAAGGGGGCUAGCGUUGCUCGGAAUUAUUGGGCGUAAAGGGCUCGCAGGCGGUUUCUUAAGUCUGAUGUGAAAGCCCCCGGCUCAACCGGGGAGGGUCAUUGGAAACUGGAAAACUUGAGUGCAGAAGAGGAGAGUGGAAUUCCACGUGUAGCGGUGAAAUGCGUAGAGAUGUGGAGGAACACCAGUGGCGAAGGCGACUCUCCGGUCUGUAACUGACGCUGAGGAGCGAAAGCGUGGGGAGCGAACAGGAUUAGAUACCCCGGUAGUCCCUGUCUCUUAUAC